GCCUGCAUGAAGCUGGAAUUGCUAGUAAUCAUAGGUCAGCAUACUAUGGUGAAUACGUUCCCGGGCCUUGUACACACCGCCCGUCACACCAUGAGAGUUGAGAAUACCCGAAGUCCAUGUCAAAGUGGCCGAAGGUAGGCUUGAUGAUUGGGGUGAAGUCGUAACAAGGUAUC
Molecule: ribosomal RNA, 173 nt
Filed under: uncultured bacterium
Lineage: Bacteria
Description: partial 16S ribosomal RNA
Rfam family: Bacterial small subunit ribosomal RNA
Source: RNAcentral